GACGAACGCUGGCGGCGUGCUUAACACAUGCAAGUCGAACGGAAAGGCCCUGCUUUUGUGGGGUUCUCGAGUGGCGAACGGGUGAGUAACACGGGAGUAACCUGCCCUUGACUUGGGGAUAACUUCAGGAAACUGGGGCUAAUACCGGAUAUGAGCUCCUGCGGCAUGGUGGGGGUUGGAAAGUUUCGGCGGGUGGGGAUGGACUCGCGGCUUGUCAGCUUGUUGGUGGGGUAUUGGCUUACCAAGGCUUUGACGGGUAGCCGGCCUGAGAGGGUGACCGGCCAGAUUGGGACUGAGAUACGGCCCAGACUCCUACGGGAGGCAGCAGUGGGGAAUCUUGCACAAUGGGCGGAAGCCUGAUGCAGAAACGCCGCGUGCGGGAUGAAGGCCUUCGGGUUGUAAACCGCUUUCGGCUGUGACGAAGCGUGAGUGACGGUACCUGGUAAAGAAGCCCCGGCUAACUACGUG
This 468-nucleotide ribosomal RNA is filed under the name uncultured bacterium. RNAcentral's name for it is "partial 16S ribosomal RNA". It matches the Rfam family "Bacterial small subunit ribosomal RNA", at positions 28 to 507 of the family's 1533-position model. The record is from RNAcentral.